GUCAAGUCAUCAUGGCCCUUAUGGCCAGGGCUACACACGUGCUACAAUGGCCGGUACAAAGGGUCGCCAACCCGCGAGGGGGAGCCAAUCCCAUAAAGCCGGUCGUAGUCCGGAUCGCAGUCUGCAACUCGACUGCGUGAAGUCGGAAUCGCUAGUAAUCGCAGAUCAGCAUUGCUGCGGUGAAUACGUUCCCGGGUCUU
RNAcentral lists this ribosomal RNA (200 nucleotides) under uncultured organism. Its description in RNAcentral is "partial small subunit ribosomal RNA". It matches the Rfam family "Bacterial small subunit ribosomal RNA", at positions 1184 to 1382 of the family's 1533-position model. The record is from RNAcentral.